AGGGUUUGAUCAUGGCUCAGAACGUACGCUGGCGGCACGCCUAACACAUGCAAGUCGAACGAAGUAGCAAUACUUAGUGGCAGACGGGUGAGUAACAUGUAGGUAUCUGCCCUUUGGCCUGGAAUAACACGAGGAAACUUGUGCUAAUACCGGAUAAGUCUUUACAGAGAAAGCUUUAUGCACCAAUGGAUGAGCCUGCACUUGAUUAGUUUGUUGGUGGGGUAAUGGCCUACCAAGACUGUGAUCAAUAGCUGAUUUGAGAGGAUGAUCAGCCACAUUGGGACUGAGACACGGCCCAAACUCCUACGGGAGGCAGCAGUGGGGAAUCUUGCACAAUGGAGGAAACUCUGAUGCAGCGAUGCCGCGUGAGUGAAGAAGGCCUUUGGGUUGUAAAGCUCUUUCGUCGGGGAAGAAAAUGACUGUACCCGAAUAAGAAGGUCCGGCUAACUUCGUGCCAGCAGCCGCGGUAAUACGAAGGGACCUAGCGUAGUUCGGAAUUACUGGGCUUAAAGAGUUCGUAGGUGGUUGAAAAAGUUGGUGGUGAAAUCCCAGAGCUUAACUCUGGAACUGCCAUCAAAACUUUUCAGCUAGAGUAUGAUAGAGGAAAGCAGAAUUUCUAGUGUAGAGGUGAAAUUCGUAGAUAUUAGAAAGAAUACCGAUUGCGAAGGCAGCUUUCUGGAUCAUUACUGACGCUGAGGAACGAAAGCAUGGGUAGCGAAGAGGAUUAGAUACCCUCGUAGUCCAUGCCGUAAACGAUGUGUGUUAGACGUUGGAAAUUUAUUUUCAGUGUCGCAGCGAAAGCGAUAAACACACCGCCUGGGGAGUACGACCGCAAGGUUAAAACUCAAAUGAAUUGACGGGGACCCGCACAAGUAGUGGAGCAUGUGGUUUAAUUCGAAGAUACGCGCAGAACCUUACCAACACUUGACAUGUUCGUCGCGACUCUAAGAGAUUAGAGUUUUCGGUUCGGCCGGACGAAACACAGGUGCUGCAUGGCUGUCGUCAGCUCGUGUCGUGAGAUGUUGGGUUAAGUCCCGCAACGAGCGCAACCCUCACUUUUAGUUGCCAUCAUUAAGUUGGGCACUCUGAAAGAACUGCCAGUGAUAAGCUGGAGGAAGGUGGGGAUGACGUCAAGUCCUCAUGGCCCUUACGUGUUGGGCUACACACGUGCUACAAUGGUAUUUACAACAGGAAGCAAAACGGCGACGUUAAGCAAAUCCUUAAAAAAUACCUCAGUUCGGAUUGCACUCUGCAACUCGAGUGCAUGAAGCUGGAAUUACUAGUAAUCGUGGAUCAGCGUGCCACGGUGAAUGCGUUCCCGGGUCUUGUACACACCGCCCGUCACACCAUGGGAGUUGGUUCUACCUUAAGGCAAGGUUUCAAACCCUUGACCACGGUAUAGUCAGCGACUGGGGUGAAGUCAUAACAAGGUAGC
RNAcentral lists this ribosomal RNA (1435 nucleotides) under uncultured bacterium. Its description in RNAcentral is "bacterial SSU rRNA". It matches the Rfam family "Bacterial small subunit ribosomal RNA". The record is from RNAcentral.